AUUCAAUAUAGUGGCAUGAAGGAGGAGACACAGAGCUACUUCAUGGGAUCUAUUUUCUUAACAAUCAUGCAUUAUGCAUUGCUGUUGUUUCAGGCCACGUCAUGCUGAACAAGAGCCGAGAAGUGGAAUCGCCACUGUCAAGCCAUCCAGUGGGAUGCCCGCUGUUCCCCCAGGAUCACUCAAGACCCUGUGACUUGUGGUCACUGAUGAGCGGACCAAGUGAAGUCCACAAGAUGGCUGCUGUGGCUCCAGGCAUUACGUCCACAUACAACUCUGUCCAGAGGCAGGAACUGGGAAUAGGCUUGGAGGUGGCCAGGACAGCAAGUGGGCUGUCUGCAUAAACCUCCCUUCCACUUGGGAAGGAAAAUCACCCCCCAAGUCGAUUUUCUGUCCAUCUUAUUGAUCAGAGAGUAUUAUAAAUCCACCCAUUAAAUAAUCUGGACAAGG
RNAcentral lists this small RNA (447 nucleotides) under Pongo abelii (Sumatran orangutan). Its description in RNAcentral is "processed transcript". Lineage: Eukaryota; Metazoa; Chordata; Mammalia; Primates; Hominidae. The record is from RNAcentral.